Portunus trituberculatus (swimming crab) is the source of this 258-nucleotide long non-coding RNA. RefSeq lists it as uncharacterized. The record is from RefSeq and is a predicted model, not a curated record. The transcript has 3 exons. NCBI's taxonomy places the organism in Eukaryota, Metazoa, Arthropoda, Malacostraca, Decapoda, Portunidae.
UCAUCAUCAUCAUCAUCUCACCACGUGGGGCCGUAACACAUGCCAAUGCCGCCGACACACAUCUGUACUGUUUUUUUUAUUAGCAUUUACCUUACUGUAGAUAUAUUGAUGGUAGAUAUCUGAUCCCGUGUGGUCUAGUGGCGGCUUCAGUAGUACAGUAGUACAGUAGUAGUACAGUCCAGUACUAGACGUGUAUGUCCGCCCGCGCUGCCAUCUUUAGUGCCCGAUUUGCGAACUUUGUCUGGCGCGGUAGUUUGA